RNAcentral lists this ribosomal RNA (406 nucleotides) under uncultured bacterium. RNAcentral's name for it is "partial 16S ribosomal RNA". It matches the Rfam family "Bacterial small subunit ribosomal RNA", at positions 29 to 526 of the family's 1533-position model. The record is from RNAcentral.
AUUGAACGCUGGCGGCAGGCCUAACACAUGCAAGUCGAACGAGCGGCGGACGGGUGAGUAAUGUCUGGGAAACUGCCUGAUGGAGGGGGAUAACUACUGGAAACGGUCGCUAAUACCGCAUACCAUCGGAUUAACCCAGAUGGGAUUAGCUAGUUGGUGGGGUAACGGCUCACCAAGGCGACGAUAUCUAGCUGGUCUGAGAGGCUGACCAGCCACACUGGAACGGAGACACGGUCGAGACUCCGACGGGAGGCAGCAGGAGGGAAUCGUUCACAAUGGGCGAAAGCCUGAUGCAGCAACGCCGCGUGUAUGAAGAAGGCCUUCGGAUCGUAAAGUACUGUUGGUGGGGAAGCGGUACCCAAAGAGAAAGCAACGGCUAACUCCGUGCCAGCAGCCGCGGUAAUUC